RNAcentral lists this ribosomal RNA (94 nucleotides) under uncultured bacterium. RNAcentral describes it as "partial 16S ribosomal RNA". It matches the Rfam family "Bacterial small subunit ribosomal RNA", at positions 1388 to 1482 of the family's 1533-position model. The record is from RNAcentral.
CACCGCCCGUCACACCAUGGGAGUCGAUUGCUCAGAAGUGCCUGAGCCAACCGCAAGGAGGCAGGGCCCCAAGGAGUGAUCGGUAACUGGGGUG